CGGACUGCGUGUAUCCGAAGAAAAAGCAUCGGCUAACUCCGUGCCAGCAGCCGCGGUAAUACGGAGGAUGCGAGCGUUAUCCGGAUUUAUUGGGUUUAAAGGGUGCGUAGGCGGUCCGUUAAGUCAGCGGUAAAAUUGCGGGGCUCAACCCCGUCGAGCCGUUGAAACUGGCAGACUUGAGUUGGCGAGAAGUACGCGGAAUGCGCGGUGUAGCGGUGAAAUGCAUAGAUAUCGCGCAGAACUCCGAUUGCGAAGGCAGCGUACCGGCGCCAGACUGACGCUGAGGCACGAAAGCGUGGGGAUCGAACAGGAUUAGAUACCCUGGUAGUCCACGCAGUAAACGAUGAAUGCUGGUUGUCCGGGUCGAAUGAGACCUGG
This 378-nucleotide ribosomal RNA is filed under the name uncultured bacterium. RNAcentral's name for it is "bacterial SSU rRNA". It matches the Rfam family "Bacterial small subunit ribosomal RNA", at positions 465 to 842 of the family's 1533-position model. The record is from RNAcentral.